Molecule: transfer RNA, 71 nt
Filed under: Araneus ventricosus
Lineage: Eukaryota; Metazoa; Arthropoda; Arachnida; Araneae; Araneidae
Description: tRNA-Glu
Source: RNAcentral
UACCCAUGCCGGAGUCGAACCCGGGCCGCCUGGGUGAGAGCCAGGAAUCCUGACCGCUAGACCACAUGGGA